GACGAACGCUGGCGGCGUGCUUAACACAUGCAAGUCGAACGGAAAGGCCCUGCUUUUGUGGGGUGCUCGAGUGGCGAACGGGUGAGUAACACGUGAGUAACCUGCCCUUGACUUUGGGAUAACUUCAGGAAACUGGGGCUAAUACCGGAUAGGAGCUCCUGCUGCAUGGUGGGGGUUGGAAAGUUUCGGCGGUUGGGGAUGGACUCGCGGCUUAUCAGCUUGUUGGUGGGGUAGUGGCUUACCAAGGCUUUGACGGGUAGCCGGCCUGAAAGGGUGACCGGCCACAUUGGGACUGAGAUACGGCCCAGACUCCUACAGGAGGCAGCAGUGGGGAAUAUUGCACAAUGGGCGGAAGCCUGAUGCAGCAACGCCGCGUGCGGGAUCACGGCCUUCGGGUUGUAAACCGCUUUCGCCUGUGACGAAGCGUGAGUGACGGUAAUGGGUAAAGAAGCACCGGCUAACUACGUG
RNAcentral lists this ribosomal RNA (468 nucleotides) under uncultured bacterium. RNAcentral describes it as "partial 16S ribosomal RNA". It matches the Rfam family "Bacterial small subunit ribosomal RNA", at positions 28 to 507 of the family's 1533-position model. The record is from RNAcentral.